This is a long non-coding RNA of Vitis riparia (riverbank grape), 875 nucleotides long. RefSeq lists it as uncharacterized. The transcript is spliced from 4 exons. NCBI's taxonomy places the organism in Eukaryota, Viridiplantae, Streptophyta, Magnoliopsida, Vitales, Vitaceae. The record is from RefSeq and is a predicted model, not a curated record.
UGCUACCAUUGCCUCGAGAUUAAUGGUAGUGAAUCAGAUGAAGUGUUGCUAGUGUACUAUCCUAAGAUUUCUUUUAGGGACGAGUUCCACUCCAAUCAUUAUAUGCACCUUCAGGCUUCAUUUGAUGAUUUUGUUUGGGGCGAAAUCAAAAGUUGUGGGGUUCAUCUUAUAUACUCUCAAGACCAUCAACAGAACCAUAUCUCGUUGGUAGAUUUUCUUGGCACCCAAGAUGAUGAAGACAACCAUAAGCCUAUGUUGUUGAAUAUUGAGAAUUUUGGUGACAACAGAUCAACAACAAAAUCUAUCAAGAGAAGUCGUGAUGGCGCAGAACAUAACCAAGCAGAGGAACCACACCAUCUCAAGCUUUAAACUCAAACACCAACCAGCAGGACUCCCCUGAGACGGAUUCUGUCAUUUCUCAAUCUAGAAUUUUCCUUCAAGUCCUGGAUUUGAAGAAGAAUUUGAGCCACAUUUGCCAUGGAAGAAAAGUGGUUGCUACCGUAUAAGAUCCCCUGUAGCUGCUGCCAUAUAUGCACCAGUGGCGGGCCUUCACCGCUACAAUAACAUCACUAUAUAUAGACCAGUGCCUCCCGCUCACCCCCACUGCAAAACCCAUUCACGGUGUUGAUGCCAUUCCCAUUCCCUUCCUCUAACAAUGAGCAGUAUUCAGACGAAAAGAAAUUUUGCAGUGGUCAAUAAUGAAGAUUAUUGGAGUGUGGAUGAAGAGUCUUGCUUGAGAUCCCUUCUGGACAUAUAUAUAGAAGAUCUUCACCUGGACAUAUAUACAAAGGACUACUAGUUCUUAUUAGUCUCAAGUCAUUGAUUGAUCUGUAAGUCUUUCAAUCUUUAACUUCUCAUAGUUCUACAUUUUGGAC